CGAACGGUCCCGAUAAAGCCGUAAGGUGAUAUCGGGGUAGUGGCAAACGGGUGAGUAAUACGUGGAUAAUCUACCUUUGAGUGGGGGAUAACUUUACGAAAGUGGAGCUAAUACCGCGUAAGACUACAGAAUCGCGUGAUUCAGUAGUAAAAGGCUUCGGUUUACCGGAGUCGCUUAAGGAUGAGUCCGCGCCUGAUUAGCUAGUUGGUAAGGUAAUAGCUUACCAAGGCAACGAUCAGUAGUCGGCCUGAAAGGGUGUUCGGCCACAUUGGAAUUGAGAUACGGUCCAGACUCCUACGGGAGGCAGCAGUGGGGAAUUUUGCGCAAUGGGGGAAACCCUGACGCAGUGACGCCGCGUGAACGAUGAAGUCCUUCGGGAUGUAAAGUUCUGUCAGGCGGGAAGAAUCUUUCCCCGAUGCAAGUCGGGGGAGAAUGACGGUACCGCCAGAGGAAGCACCGGCUAAUUCCGUGCCAGCAGCCGCGGUAACACGGAGGGUGCAAGCGUUGUUCGGAAUUACUAGGCGUAAAGAGCGUGUAGGUGGUUAGCUAAGUCGGAUGUGAAAAUCCCAAGCUUAACUUGGAACGUGCAUUCGAAACUGGUUAACUUGAGUGUAGGAGAGGAGAGCGGAAUUCCUAGUGUAGCGGUGAAAUGCGUAGAUAUUAGGAAGAACACCGGUGGCGAAGGCGGCUCUCUGGCCUAAAACUGACACUGAGACGCGAAAGCGUGGGUAGCGAACAGGAUUAGAUACCCUGGUAGUCCACGCCGUAAACGAUGGGCAUUAGGUGUAGGAGGUAUCCAAUCCUUCUGUGCCGAAGUUAACGCAUUAAAUGCCCCGCCUGGGGAGUACGACCGCAAGGUUGAAACUC
Molecule: ribosomal RNA, 867 nt
Filed under: uncultured bacterium
Lineage: Bacteria
Description: bacterial SSU rRNA
Rfam family: Bacterial small subunit ribosomal RNA
Source: RNAcentral